This 1313-nucleotide ribosomal RNA is filed under the name metagenome. Its description in RNAcentral is "bacterial SSU rRNA". It matches the Rfam family "Archaeal small subunit ribosomal RNA", at positions 123 to 1445 of the family's 1478-position model. The record is from RNAcentral.
GGAAUAACCUCGGUAAACUGAGGCUAAAUCCGGAUAGAGAAAUUUUCUGGGAUGAUUUUUUCUGUAAAGGUAACACCUAAGGAUGAGUUGGCGGCGGAUUAGGUUGUUGGUGGGGUAAAGGCCCACCAAGCCGAAGAUCCGUAGGGGCCCUGAGAGGGGUAGCCCCGAGAAGGGUACUGAGAUACUGACCCUAGCCCUACGGGGUGCAGCAGGCGCGAAACCUUUACAAUGCACGCAAGUGUGAUAGGGGAAUCCCAAGUGCUCAUACUUUGUAUGGGCUUUUGUUAAGAGUAAACAUCUUAGCGAAUAAGUGGUGGGCAAGACUGGUGCCAGCCGCCGCGGUACACCAGCGCCACGAGUGGUAAUCAUAUUUAUUGGGCCUAAAGCGUCCGUAGCAGGUUUGAAAAGUCUCUUGUGAAAUUGUUAGGCUUAACCUACCAACGUGCAGGAGAUACUAUUGAACUUGGGACCGGGAGGAGCUAGAAGUAUUCGGGGGGGAGCGGUAAAAUGUUAUAAUCCCUCGAGGACUACCUGUGGCGAAGGCGUCUAGCUAGAACGGAUCCGACUGUGAGGGACGAAAGCCAGGGGAGCAAAACGGAUUAGAUACCCGAGUAGUCCUGGCCGUAAACGCUGCGAGCAAGAUGUUGCGCAUCCUCGUGGAUGUGCAGUAUCGAAACGAAGGUGUUAAGCUCGCCGCCUGGGAAGUAUAGUCGCAAGACCGAAACUUAAAGGAAUUGGCGGGGGAGCACCACAAGGGGUGCGGCGUGCGGUUUAAUCUAAUUCAACACAGAGAAUCUCACCAGAGGCGACGGCAGGAUGAAAGUCAGUCUAAAGGGCUUACUUGACGAGCCGAGAGGUAGUGCAUGGCCGCCGUCAGCUCGUGCUGUAAAGUGUCCUGUUAAGUCAGGCAACGAGCGAGACCUGUAUUUAUAAUUGCAAACGAGUCCUUUAGGAUGAUCGUGCACAUUAUAGGGACUGCCUUGGAAACAAGGAGGAAGGUGCAGGCUACGGUAGGUCUGUAUGCUCCGAAUCCUCUGGGCUACACGCGCGCAACAAUGGUUGGGACAAUGGGAUACAACUCCGAAAGGAGAAGUUAAACCUCGAAACCCAAUCCAAGUCCAGAUUGAGGAUUGUAACUCAUCCUCAUGACGAUGGAAUCCCUAGUAAUUGGAAGUUAUCAGCUUCCAGUGAAUGUGUCCCUGCUCCUUGCACACACCGCCCGUCAAACCACUCGAGCAGGGUUUGGAUGAGGAUCAGCCUAUUAGCUGCUUCGAAUCUAAACUCAGUAAGAUGGGUUAAGUCGUCACAAGGUA